This 406-nucleotide ribosomal RNA is filed under the name uncultured bacterium. RNAcentral describes it as "partial 16S ribosomal RNA". It matches the Rfam family "Bacterial small subunit ribosomal RNA", at positions 30 to 526 of the family's 1533-position model. The record is from RNAcentral.
AUUGAACGCUGGCGGCAGGCUUAACACAUGCAAGUCGAGCGAGCGGCGGACGGGUGAGUAAGGUCUGGGAAACUGCCUGAGGGAGGGGGAUAACUACUGGAAACGGUAGCUAAUACCGCAUACAAUCAGAUGUGCCCAGAUGGGAUUAGCUAGGAGGUGGAGUAAUGGCUCACCUAGGCGACGAUCCCGAGCUGGUCUGAGAGGAUGACCGCCCACAGUGGAACUGAGACACGGUCCAGUCUCCUACUGGAGGCAUCAGUGGGGAAUAUUGAACAAGGGGCGCAAGCCUGAUGCAGCCGUGCCGCGUGUGUGAAGAAGGCCUUCGGGUUUUAAAGCACUUUCAGCGAGGAGGCGUUACUCGCAGAAGAAGCACCGGCUAACUCCGUGCCAGCAGCCGCGGUAAUUC